This 236-nucleotide ribosomal RNA is filed under the name uncultured bacterium. Its description in RNAcentral is "partial 16S ribosomal RNA". It matches the Rfam family "Bacterial small subunit ribosomal RNA", at positions 100 to 334 of the family's 1533-position model. The record is from RNAcentral.
CGGCACGGGUGAGUAACGCGUAUCCAACCUGCCGUCUACUCUUGGACAGCCUUCUGAAAGGAAGAUUAAUACAAGAUGGCAUCAUGAGUCCGCAUGUUCACAUGAUUAAAGGUAUUCCGGUAGACGAUGGGGAUGCGUUCCAUUAGAUAGUAGGCGGGGUAACGGCCCACCUAGUCUUCGAUGGAUAGGGGUUCUGAGAGGAAGGUCCCCCACAUUGGUACUGAGACACGGUCCAA